Molecule: small nucleolar RNA, 205 nt
Organism: Molossus molossus (Pallas's mastiff bat)
Lineage: Eukaryota; Metazoa; Chordata; Mammalia; Chiroptera; Molossidae
Product: small nucleolar RNA U3
Exons: 1
Source: RefSeq, a predicted model, not a curated record
AAGACUAUACUUUCAGGGAUCAUUUCUAUAGUUCGGUACUAAAGAAGUUUCUCGGAAUGUAUAGAACACCCGAAACCAUGAGGAGGAGGUGCAGUGUUUUCUCAUGCACGCGAAGCCGGCUUCUGGUGUUGCUUAUGCCUUUAGCCACUGAUGAUUGUUCUUCUCUCCCUGGGGGAGUAAAGGGAGAAAACGCAGUCUGGGUGGU